This 76-nucleotide transfer RNA is filed under the name Crypturellus undulatus. RNAcentral's name for it is "tRNA-Leu". It matches the Rfam family "tRNA". From Rfam's summary of the family: Transfer RNA (tRNA) molecules are approximately 80 nucleotides in length. Their secondary structure includes four short double-helical elements and three loops (D, anti-codon, and T loops). The record is from RNAcentral. Lineage: Eukaryota; Metazoa; Chordata; Aves; Tinamiformes; Tinamidae.
UGCUAGCGUGGCAGAGCCCGGAUAAAUGCAAAAGGCUUAAGCCCUUUACCCAGAGGUUCAAGUCCUCUCCCUAGCU